This 484-nucleotide long non-coding RNA is filed under the name Gossypium raimondii (Peruvian cotton). RNAcentral describes it as "long non-coding RNA (GRAI_LNC009413)". Lineage: Eukaryota; Viridiplantae; Streptophyta; Magnoliopsida; Malvales; Malvaceae. The record is from RNAcentral.
ACUAACGCUUACUUACAAAUCAAUGGCAAUUCCUCAAAUUCACGCGUUGGAGAUCAUUACCUUCGAUAUCUAUGCCUAAAAAAAAUCGAACAAAUUCUUAACAAAGAAUUCAAGCAAAUCAAUCAAAAACCAACUUCGACAGAAACGACGAAGUUGACAAACAAUGAAAUGCACACUUACCCGACCACACAGCAGUAAAAAUUUAAUAGCAACUUUAGCGAUUGUGAAAACCAAAAAGAAUAAGAGAAAAAGAAUAACAAAAGAAUAAGAGAAAAAGAACAAACGGAAGAGGGAAAUGAAAGAAAACAAUUUAAUUUUAAAAAAAAACAAUUAAACUAAUUCUAUAGAAUAGCAAAACAAAACAAAAAAAAACAUAUCCCCACUUCACUCACACAAAGACUCGAAGACUAGACCAAAGAGUAUCAGAUACUUAACCAUCGAAUCAGCAAGCUCAUUCUUCACACAGGCUAACAUAGAAUUAAAC